This is a non-coding RNA of Oncorhynchus mykiss (rainbow trout), 2790 nucleotides long. NCBI's taxonomy places the organism in Eukaryota, Metazoa, Chordata, Actinopteri, Salmoniformes, Salmonidae. The record is from RefSeq and is a predicted model, not a curated record.
CCCCAUGUAAUCUUAUUCGUUAUAAUCUAGGAUCAGACCCCCCCCCCCCAUGUGAUCUUAUUGGUUCUGAUCUGAAAGGCUAAACUGAUCCUACAGUAGAUCAGCAGGUCGAAACUGAUCCUACAGUAGAUCAGCAGGUCUAAACUGAUCCUACAGCAGAUCGGCAGGUCUAAACUGAUCCUACAGCAGAUCGGCAGGUCUAAACUGAUCCUACAGUAGAUUGGCAGGUCUAAACUGAUCCUACAGUAGAUCGGCAGGUCUAAACUGAUCCUUCAGCAGAUCGGCAGGUCUAAACUGAUCCUUCAGCAGAUCGGCAGGUCUAAACUGAUCCUACAGCAGAUCGGCAGGUCUAAACUGAUCCUACAGCAGAUCGGCAGGUCGAAACUGAUCCUACAGCAGAUCAGCAGGUCUAAACUGAUCCUACAGCAGGUCUAAACUGAUCCUACAGCAGAUCAGCAGGUCUAAACUGAUCCUACAGUAGAUCAGCAGGUCUAAACUGAUCCUACAGUAGAUCAGCAGGUCUAAACUGAUCCUACAGUAGAUCAGCAGGUCUAAACUGAUCCUACAGCAGAUCGGCAGGUCUAAACUGAUCCUACAGCAGGUCUAAACUGAUCCUACAGCAGGUCUAAACUGAUCCUACAGUAGAUCAGCAGGUCUAAACUGAUCCUACAGCAGGUCUAAACUGAUCCUACAGUAGAUCAGCAGGUCUAAACGGAUCCUACAGUAGAUCAGCAGGUCUAAACUGAUCCUACAGUAGAUCAGCAGGUCUAAACUGAUCCUACAGUAGAUCAGCAGGUCUAAACUGAUCCUACAGUAGAUCAGCAGGUCUAAACUGAUCCUACAGCAGAUCGGCAGGUCUAAACUGAUCCUACAGCAGGUCUAAACUGAUCCUACAGCAGGUCUAAACUGAUCCUACAGUAGAUCAGCAGGUCUAAACUGAUCCUACAGCAGGUCUAAACUGAUCCUACAGUAGAUCAGCAGGUCUAAACUGAUCCUACAGCAGGUCUAAACUGAUCCUACAGUAGAUCAGCAGGUCUAAACUGAUCCUACAGCAGGUCUAAACUGAUCCUACAGUAGAUCAGCAGGUCUAAACUGAUCCUACAGCAGGUCUAAACUGAUCCUACAGUAGAUCAGCAGGUCUAAACUGAUCCUACAGUAGAUCAGCAGGUCUAAACUGAUCCUACAGUAGAUCAGCAGGUCUAAACUGAUCCUACAGUAGAUCAGCAGGUCUAAACUGAUCCUACAGUAGAUCAGCAGGUCUAAACUGAUCCUACAGUAGAUCAGCAGGUCUAAACUGAUCCUACAGCAGAUCGGCAGGUCGACUAUGAGAUGCUUUAUAAAUAGACGGCCCUAGAUUGUCUUUGUAAAUGAACCUUUUAGUGUUUCAUCGAUAUCAGACCUGUGAUGUUUUGUAUCCAGUUCGUGUUUCUGUUUCCUGCUGUGUUAGUCGUCAGUCUGGCAGGGCAGUCUGGCAGGGCAGUCUGGCAGGGCAGCCGUGUCGUUCUCCUGUUUUAGAUGAGUCGGUAGUACGAUACAAUACAACAGUGUUUUGCAUAUCAACAACUUACUUUCCGUAAACUCCCCCCAAACAAAAGCAAAUUCCUCCCGAGAACGAAAGCAGCAUAUUAGGAUAACAUUGAGUUAGGAUUUUUUGUUUGUUUGUUGUAAACAUUAAGUUAUGAGCUGUUUCAAAAAUGAAGUUCUGAUUGAAACUGAAAAUAUGUCAGAUGUGGUGUGUUUGUUGUUUGAUAGUCCAGAUGAAUAUAUUCAGCCUAAAACCUACACAAAUAUAAAUAUUGACCUGAUGAUGAUGAUGAGACUGUUUUUAUAUGAAUGAUGUGCUUUACAUACUGAUUUAGUGCUGCUAAGCUAAAUGUUUAUUUUAUUUGUAAUCAUCACACUGACCUCAAGGGUUGGUCUGAUCUAGUUGGCUUUAGGACGGGUGUUUAUGGGUUGGACAUACAGGGGGUCGGUUUCCCCAGACCCAGGUUAACCUUAUUUCUGGACUGAAAAGCACUUUUAACUUAAAAAAAAAAAAUCUCAACUGAGAAUGUUUUAUUUUCUUUUUAGAAGUGGCUUAACUUUUUGUCUGAGUAAACAGACCCAAACUGUAGCACCCUGUUCAGUCCUGACUUCUAUUUUAGUCAAAUAUUCCCAUUGAAAUCAAUGCAAACUGAUGACUAUCCUCCCUUUUCAAAUAUUCCCAUUGAAAUCAAUGCAAACUGAUGAUGAUCCUCCCUUUUCAAAGAAGACAUGCCCUUGAGGAACAAAUGAUUGAAUAUGUACAUGUACCACGUUGUUGUUGUUGAUGAAUUAGCUGAUUCUUCUAGGCAGUGAGUAAGACCUUUAGAGAUCUCAACGGAAGUUAGUUUAAACUAGGCUGCAAUAAUUUAGUGACAAAAUGAAACGAGUCACCUCACUUGUUGUGGUUUUUAAAAUGUUUUUCCCUGACCUGGGUCAUAUAUAUGGAGCUGUACAGCUUUAAACAUAAUAGUGGAGAACUCCCAGCCAAUAGUAUCAGCCUCUCAGGGUUGAAGGUCACGGAUAUGCAAAUGAGCUGUAUGUUCCUGUUUUGACUUGUGCCUGCGUGCACCCUGUUGUUUCACCAUGCUUCUGUAUUGAUAUAAAUGAAAAAGUAGUAGCACGUCGUUCUCCAUUGUUCUCAAGUUAAUUCUACCGUGUCAUCAAGAGCACAACAACCUGUAUGUACAUAGGUGAUGACAAAACUGUUCCCUCUGAUUAAAAAAAAAAAAAAUUGUAUAUAAAUUGUUUCUAAAUGACUAUUUAACC